This 526-nucleotide ribosomal RNA is filed under the name uncultured bacterium. RNAcentral's name for it is "bacterial SSU rRNA". It matches the Rfam family "Bacterial small subunit ribosomal RNA", at positions 53 to 568 of the family's 1533-position model. The record is from RNAcentral.
ACAUGCAAGUCGAGGGGCAGCAUGAUUGAAGCUUGCUUCAAUUGAUGGCGACCGGCGCACGGGUGAGUAACGCGUAUCCAACCUUCCGUACACUCAGGGAUAGCCUUUCGAAAGAAAGAUUAAUACCCGAUGGUAUGAUGAGAUUGCAUGAUAGCAUCAUUAAAGAUUUAUCGGUGUACGAUGGGGAUGCGUUCCAUUAGGUAGUAGGCGGGGUAACGGCCCACCUAGCCGACGAUGGAUAGGGGUUCUGAGAGGAAGGUCCCCCACAUUGGAACUGAGACACGGUCCAAACUCCUACGGGAGGCAGCAGUGAGGAAUAUUGGUCAAUGGACGAGAGUCUGAACCAGCCAAGUAGCGUGAAGGAUGAAGGUCCUACGGAUUGUAAACUUCUUUUAUAAGGGAAUAAAACCUCCCACGUGUGGGAGCUUGUAUGUACCUUAUGAAUAAGCAUCGGCUAACUCCGUGCCAGCAGCCGCGGUAAUACGGAGGAUGCGAGCGUUAUCCGGAUUUAUUGGGUUUAAAGGGA